AUGACUCCCUUGAGAGUCCUGUUCCCCUUUUAUCAAUGCACAGGCCCAGAAGACCCCUCCAUCCUGUAGCACCUGCCAUGAGCAUUGAGCUCCUGUGUUGUGUGGCCUUUUCUCUCCUGUGGGCAGGUCUAGUGAAUGCUGGUGUCACUCAGACCCCAAAAUUCCAAGUCCUGAAGACAGGACAGAGCGUGACACUGCAGUGUGCCCAGGAUAUGAACUAUAACUUCAUGUACUGGUAUCGACAAGACCCAGGCAUGGGGCUGAGGCCGAUUCAUUACUCAGGUGCUGCUGGUACUACUGAUAAAGGAGAAGUCCCCAGUGGCUACAAUGUCUCCAGAUUAAACACAGAGGAUUUCCCACCCAGACUGGAGUCGGUUGCUCCUUCCCAGACAUCUGUGUACUUCUGUGCCUCUGCAGGCAGUCUCAGCCAGGCCUGGACUGGUCCCAGGUUCUCAGAUGUCUCCUUUGUUACUCUCUCUGGUCUGUCCUCCAAGCUCUACUUUUGA
Non-coding RNA from Cercocebus atys (sooty mangabey), 506 nucleotides. Lineage: Eukaryota; Metazoa; Chordata; Mammalia; Primates; Cercopithecidae. The record is from the annotation of a RefSeq genome assembly.